CUUUGGUCUCUUCUCUAGCUAAUGACCACUCAUAUAAUCCUCCUCCUCCUCCCCCCGUUACAAAACCACCACCCCCCCCAAAGGUGAAACCCACUCCUCCUCCUCCGGUUUUAAAACCACCACCGCCGGCGCCGCCAAAGCUGAAACCUCCUCCUCCUCCUCUAGUUGUAAAACCACCACCGCCGGGGCCGCCAAAGGUGAAACCUCCUCCUCCUCCUCCAGUUGUAAAACCACCGUCGCCACCGCCGCCAAAGGUGAAACCUCCUCCUCCUCCUCCGCUUGUAAAACCGCCGCCGCCAAAGGUGAAACCUCCUCCUCCUCCAGUUGUAAAACCGCCGCCGCCGCCACCGCCAAAGGUGAAACCUCUUCCUCCUCCUCCAGUUGUAAAACCACCACCACCGCCGCCAAAGGUGAAACCUCCUCCUCCCUCUCCAGUUGUAAAACCACCACCACCACC
This 457-nucleotide long non-coding RNA is filed under the name Citrus x clementina. Its description in RNAcentral is "Citrus clementina (C. clementina) long non-coding RNA (CCLE_LNC002017)". Lineage: Eukaryota; Viridiplantae; Streptophyta; Magnoliopsida; Sapindales; Rutaceae. The record is from RNAcentral.